UACGGAAGGCAGCAGUGGGGAAUAUUGCACAAUGGGCGCAAGCCUGAUGCAGCCAUGCCGCGUGUAUGAAGAAGGCCUUCGGGUUGUAAAGUACUUUCAGUCGUGAGGAAGGUGUUAAGGUUAAUAACCUUAGCAAUUGACGUUAGCGACAGAAGAAGCACCGGCUAACUCCGUGCCAGCAGCCGCGGUAAUACGGAGGGUGCGAGCGUUAAUCGGAAUUACUGGGCGUAAAGGGCACGCAGGCGGUUAAUUAAGUUGGAUGUGAAAUCCCCCGGGCUUAACCUGGGAAUGGCAUUCAAGACUGGUUAGCUAGAGUCUUGUAGAGGGGGUAGAAUUCCAUGUGUAGCGGUGAAAUGCGUAGAGAUGUGGAGGAAUACCGGUGGCGAAGGCGGCCCCUGGACAAAGACUGACGCUCAUGUGCGAAAGCGUGGGGAGCAAACAGGGAUUAGAUACC
Molecule: ribosomal RNA, 454 nt
Filed under: uncultured bacterium
Lineage: Bacteria
Description: bacterial SSU rRNA
Rfam family: Bacterial small subunit ribosomal RNA
Source: RNAcentral